UCCCAGCCCUGAGGUGCUUCCUGCGUGGGUUGAGUAGAUGUGGGAGGGACGGCUGGACCUGGAAGAGACUGAAUGUGAGUGGAGAGGAGAGGAGGCAGAGCCAGGAGGAAUCCCAGAGUUAACAGGAGGACGAGUUGAGCUGACAGCUGGAAAGAGUGGUAGUAUUUCAUCCUGAAAAAGAGAUGACAUGACUAUUAAUUACCUGCUCCAGGUGAGCCACCCCUAACCGAGGCGUAGCUGCCAUCUCCAUCUACCUCUUCCAGACAGGAGAUCAGGCACAAAAGAAAGACCUCAAUUUACCUGAGUGAGGGCAGACACAGGAAGCCCAGCUGCCU
Labeo rohita (rohu) is the source of this 335-nucleotide long non-coding RNA. RefSeq lists it as uncharacterized. The record is from RefSeq and is a predicted model, not a curated record. NCBI's taxonomy places the organism in Eukaryota, Metazoa, Chordata, Actinopteri, Cypriniformes, Cyprinidae. The transcript is spliced from 3 exons.